AUUCCAGCUCCAAUAGCGUAUAUUAAAGUUGUUGCGGUUAAAAAGCUCGUAGUUGGAGUUCUGCCAGGUGCCGCCUGUCCGCCCCAGUGGUGAGUACGUGGCGCGCAUUUGGCCCUUUCAAGGGGAGCGUAUCUGCACUUUAUUGUGUGGUGCGGGAUCCUUGACUUUUACUUUGAGGAAAUAGGAGUGUUCCAAGCAGGCUCUCGUCGUGCACAGCUCAGCAUGGAAUAAUAGCAUUGGACCUCGAUUCUAAGCUGUUGGUUGCCAGAAGCGAGGUAAUGAUGAAGAGGGAUAGUUGGGGGCAUUCGUAUUUAACUGUCAGAGGUGAAAUUCUUGGAUUAACGGAAGAUGAACUUCUGCGAAAGCAUCUGCCAAGGAUGUUUUCGUUG
This 389-nucleotide ribosomal RNA is filed under the name Syndiniales sp. RNAcentral's name for it is "partial small subunit ribosomal RNA". It matches the Rfam family "Eukaryotic small subunit ribosomal RNA", at positions 582 to 975 of the family's 1831-position model. Lineage: Eukaryota; Dinophyceae; Syndiniales. The record is from RNAcentral.